UAUUUUUCGAGAAUGCAUGCUUAAUUUCGAUAUUUCAAGUUUUUCUUCUCUUUACCGUUUGCUAGAGUUAAUGCAUGCUUAGGAGUGUAGUGAUUUUCCUCAAUUCCUAUUUUAAUGGUUUAAUUUUUUGUUUUGAUUUAUGUUCUACUGUACAUAUAAGUUUUAGAUUCAUAUAUGUUUAGAAGAAAAGGAAAAAAAAAGGUAAAGAAUUCAGGCUUUUGCAAAGCAAAAGUAGAAUUUCUCAUUUAGUUUCAAGGAAAAGAGCUUAUUUGUGCUCCAGUCAGUGAGGGUAUUAACUACUGAGGGUCUAAUUUUUUGUUGUUUCUCUGUUCGAUGCUACUUUCUUUCAUUAGGUAAGCUUCAGUUAGUUUUAUGUUGAGAAACAAGUGAUUACUAAUUUUUGUUAUUGUUUCAGUAUUAGUUCUCAUUAAUAUGUUCUGUUGGUUCAAUGUCGGAGCAAGUUCAGGUGGUAAGAAUUAUCAUAAUCGCAAUUUCAUUCGAUCUAGUGAUUUCUUCUCAAAUUUGCCAUUUUGUUAUAUAUUGGUUAACAACUCAACCGACUAAAUUUCUAAGGUUAAUCUGAAAGUGCUUUUUGAAGGUAGAAAUAGAGUUAGCAACUGCCUCUGAAAUUAGUGAAUGAAUUCUACUCAUGAACACCGUGCAAAAUGCUGAAUAUAAUGUUGAAGAGAAUGUAUAUUCUUGAUAAAUUCUUAGAAUUUCUUCUCUUGCUGCUUUGUUUGAAAGAAGUGAGUUGGUAUUUUAAACCAUAGUGUUACAAAGAUUUUAUGAUGUCAAAAUGAACACUCAUUUCUAUUCCUCUACGACAGUAAUAUUACCUUCACUGUGACAACUUUCCUGCAUCGCAACCCAGCAGCAUGAAGUGCAUGAAAUUUUCUUGGAACAAUGAACGAUAAAACAUGCGUGACAUAUUGCCUCAAUAUACUCCAGUAAACCUUCAGAAUCUUGGUGAGACAGCGCGGCCUUAUUGUGUAGCUCUUAAUCCUCCUCACACACCUGAGCAUACAAUGCUUAAGUGGACCACGGGCCACCCUUUACCGUCAGUUGCUGCAUCAAUAGCUUCAUUCGAGCUAGAUCAAAUCCAAGGAAAGAGUGGAAUAUGAUUUUGUGGAGCAUAUCAAAGUAUGUAGAUUUUAGAUAAGCAUAUACCUGACUUGAACGACCUUUAGAUUUUUAUUGGGCAUAUAUAGUGAGGCUUGGGCUUGUAUGCCGCGUCUCAGGACUUCAAGAGAAAAUGAUGCUAGCAAAGGCGAAACUUGAAGACAUCUUAUUUUGCCUUUUGUUUUCAUGUUUAUGCACAAUUACAACAUGUUAUGAAUUUUUAUUAAAAAUUUCCUAUGUUAUUUUGUUUGAUAAAUGUCUUUACUGUUGUCUCUUCUAAUGUUGAUGAGUUGCCCUA
Molecule: non-coding RNA, 1417 nt
Organism: Nicotiana tabacum (common tobacco)
Lineage: Eukaryota; Viridiplantae; Streptophyta; Magnoliopsida; Solanales; Solanaceae
Source: RefSeq, a predicted model, not a curated record